Molecule: transfer RNA, 71 nt
Filed under: Camelus bactrianus (Bactrian camel)
Lineage: Eukaryota; Metazoa; Chordata; Mammalia; Artiodactyla; Camelidae
Also listed under: 2 other names
Rfam family: tRNA
About the family: Transfer RNA (tRNA) molecules are approximately 80 nucleotides in length. Their secondary structure includes four short double-helical elements and three loops (D, anti-codon, and T loops).
Source: Rfam by way of RNAcentral
UGGGGUGUAGCUCAGUGGUAGAGCACAUGCUUAGCAUGCACAAGGUCCUGGUUCAAUCCCCAGUACCUCCA